AACGAACGCUGGCGGCAUGCCUAACACAUGCAAGUCGAACGAGACCUUCGGGUCUAGUGGCGCACGGGUGCGUAACGCGUGGGAACCUGCCCUUAGGUUCGGAAUAACUCCCCGAAAGGGGUGCUAAUACCGGAUAAUUUCUUCGGACCAAAGAUUUAUCGCCUUUGGAUGGGCCCGCGUUGGAUUAGCUAGUUGGUAGGGUAAAAGCCUACCAAGGCGACGAUCCAUAGCUGGUCUGAGAGGAUGAUCAGCCACACUGGGACUGAGACACGGCCCAGACUCCUACGGGAGGAAGCAGUGGGGAAUAUUGGACAAUGGGCGAAAGACUGAGCCAGCAAUGCCGCGUGAGUGAUGAAGGACUUAGGGUUGUAAAGCUCUUUUACCAGGGAUGAUAAUGACAGUACCGGGAGAAUAAGCGCCGGCUAACUCCGUG
RNAcentral lists this ribosomal RNA (433 nucleotides) under uncultured bacterium. Its description in RNAcentral is "partial 16S ribosomal RNA". It matches the Rfam family "Bacterial small subunit ribosomal RNA", at positions 29 to 507 of the family's 1533-position model. The record is from RNAcentral.